RNAcentral lists this ribosomal RNA (440 nucleotides) under uncultured bacterium. RNAcentral's name for it is "partial 16S ribosomal RNA". It matches the Rfam family "Bacterial small subunit ribosomal RNA", at positions 338 to 795 of the family's 1533-position model. The record is from RNAcentral.
CCUACGGGUGGCAGCAGUGAGGAAUAUUGCACAAUGGGGGCAAGUCUGAUGCAGCGACGCCGCGUGAGUGAAGACGGCUUUAGGUACUUAAAGCUCUAUCAGCAGGGAAGAAAAUGACGGUACCUGACUAAGAAGCCCAGGCUAACUACGUGCCAGCAGCCGCGGUAAUACGGAGGGGGCAAGGGUUAUCCGGAUUUACUGGGUGUAAAGGGAGCGUAGACGGCAGCGCAAGUCUGGAGUGAAAUCGCAUGGCUUAACCAUGGAACUGCGUUGGAAACUGUGCAGCUAGAGUGCAGGCGAGGUAAGCGGAAUUCGUGGUGUAGCGGUGAAAUGCUUAGAUAUCAGGAAGAACACCAGUGGCGAAGGCAGCUUACUGGACUGUAACUGACGUUGAGGCUCGAAAGCGUGGGGAGCAAACAGGAUUAGAUACCCCUGUAGUC